AGUUGUCCAAAAAAAAAAAACCUUUGGUGUUGUGUACAUAGUCCAGGUUUGAUAUUAGAACAAGGGUGUCAGUGAUUCCUUAAAAAUAAUAUAUAGAGUUAAUAGAAUGCUAAUAUUACAGGGGGAAAUGGAUGCUGCUGCCAGCAUGAUCGAGAAGGUAAUCCAGGCAAAUCCACUUAAGCAGAAGCUUUUAAAAACUUAGCGCUCCUCAGGCAUCAUGAUUACACAAAGUGCAAAGUUGUGGUUUAUUCAGCGGUGGUUAAGGCAUAUGCAAAAACAUUUAGGUUUAGGGAUAAAGUGUUGAAGAAAGUUUGGACACAUUCCCUUAUGAUGGAACAACCACUACCUGUGAAUCUCUCUCUAUACAUGGGAGUUCCAUGUAUUACUAUGGCUGGUACAGUACAUGCUCAUAAUGUUGGUGUCAGUCUUCUCAGUAAACGUUGGUUUAGGACACCUGGUUGCUUAAAAUGAGGAUGAGUAUGUGCAGUUAUAUGUUGAUCUAGCUUCUGAUGUGACCGCUUUUUCAAAACUGAGAUAAGUCUUGGUCCGUCCUUUACUGCAAAGGUGAAAAGUACCGUCCUUAAAGAAAACUCAAUGCCUUUUGCUGAUUGUGGACUCAUAUAGUCAUAUGGGUGAAGAUCUGAAAGAGAGUCAGUUCAUGAGAUCUUCCUCUCUUUUUUACUUCCAAGACUAUAGGAACUAGACUUGUAGAUUACUGCUUUGUCUAGUAAAAGGAAUUUUGUAAAAUCACUCUUUUUCUUUCUUUUUAUUUUUGGUUCUCUCAUCCAGCUUAAUUUAGCUUUAUAGUGAUUCUUGGCAAGUCUAGGUGGAAGUGGAUUUGGUAACUCCAAAUCAACAACACAAAAGACACCGAUGCAUCGUUUCCUACGCCAGCCAAGAAAGAUACAGAGAGCGAUGCUUCACUUUUGAAAAAGAGCUCUGAGGUCGCUGAGGAUAACAAGAAAAAUGUCUAAUAGAGAAGGCUGAUAUGGGAGACAAUUUUGGUUGCAGCCAAAAUCAAGAGAAGCCUGGUGGAGCUAAAUCUAAAAAGGAGAAAAAGGUGCUUCAUCUUCAUCCAAGCGGUUCCACUAAUGCUUCAUUGAGCUCAAUGAAACCGAAAGAAAGAAAAGGUAGAGUUCAGCAACCAGCUAGUUCAGGUACUAAUCUUUUGAAGUCAAGGCUUCAAAAUGAUCGCAGUGAAUCCGUGAAAGGCGCUGCCAUGAGCAAGAAACAAUAUGUGAAGAAGAUAAGCUCUAAACCUCUCACAGUGGAGAAGAGGAAGACGAACUUCUUCGAAGAUGCAGAGAAAUGUAAUUAGUCAGAGGAUUAAUAUAAAAAGACGUCUGAUAUCUCCGACAAAACACCAUCGGAUUAUUCAUCAGAGGAUGAUAGUGAUGUGACUUUUAUGUCUAGGAAGCAAGGUUUGAAGGGAGCCUACAAGAUUUGCUGAGAAGAUCAAGCAGUUACAAGAAGGCUUUAAUUAGAGCCCAGUCACAAACCGAUUUAGAUGAUGACUCUCCGGUAGAUUGCGUCCCAGAUAUCCAAGGCGUCUAAGAUUUUACCUAUUAUCAAAACCUGGAAAUGAUGUUUAAAUCCUUUAAAAUCACGGUUUUGCUUCUUUCUGACGUUUUAUGUUGAUCAGGAGAGUGCUUCAUAAGAGUUUUGCAACAACUAAAUGUUAUUAAAUCAUAACAUCAAUUUUUUUUUUUUUUUAAUUUCAAUGUUUCAUAAUAUUUAUUUU
This is a long non-coding RNA of Brassica oleracea var. oleracea, 1741 nucleotides long. RefSeq lists it as uncharacterized. NCBI's taxonomy places the organism in Eukaryota, Viridiplantae, Streptophyta, Magnoliopsida, Brassicales, Brassicaceae. The record is from RefSeq and is a predicted model, not a curated record. The transcript has 6 exons.